GAUGAACGCUGGCGGCGUGCCUAAUACAUGCAAGUCGAGCGAACAGACUUGGAGCUUGCUCCUCUGUCGUUAGCUUCGGACGUGUGAGUAACACGUGGAUAACCUACCUAUAAGACUUGGAUCAUUUCGGGAAACCGCAGCUAAUACCGGCUACCAUUUUCAACCGCAUGGUUCAACAGUCAAAGACGGUCUUGCUGUCACUUAUUGAUGGAUCCUCGCCGCAUUAGCUAGUUGGUAAGGUAACGGCUUACCACGGCAACUAUGCGUAGCCAAUCUGAGAAGGUGAUCGGGCACACUGGAACUGAGACACGGUCCAGACUCCUAAGGGAGGCAGCAGUAGGGAAUCUUCCGCAAGGGGCGAAAGCCUGACGGAGCAAAGCCGAGUGAGUGAUGAAGGUCUUAGGAUCGUAAAACUCUGUUAUUAGGGAAGAACAAAUGUGUAAGUAACAAUGCACGACUUGACGGUACCUAAUCAGAAAGCCACGGCUAACUACGUG
This 497-nucleotide ribosomal RNA is filed under the name uncultured bacterium. RNAcentral's name for it is "partial 16S ribosomal RNA". It matches the Rfam family "Bacterial small subunit ribosomal RNA", at positions 28 to 507 of the family's 1533-position model. The record is from RNAcentral.